Molecule: ribosomal RNA, 588 nt
Filed under: uncultured yeast
Lineage: Eukaryota; Fungi
Description: eukaryotic LSU rRNA
Rfam family: Eukaryotic large subunit ribosomal RNA
Source: RNAcentral
GCAUAUCAAUAAGCGGAGGAAAAGAAACCAACCGGGAUUGCCUUAGUAACGGCGAGUGAAGCGGCAAAAGCUCAAAUUUGAAAUCUGGCGUCUUCGACGUCCGAGUUGUAAUUUGAAGAAGGCGACUUUGUAGCUGGUCCUUGUCUAUGUUCCUUGGAACAGGACGUCAUAGAGGGUGAGAAUCCCGUGUGGCGAGGAUCCCAGUUAUUUGUAAAGUGCUUUCGACGAGUCGAGUUGUUUGGGAAUGCAGCUCUAAGUGGGUGGUAAAUUCCAUCUAAAGCUAAAUAUUGGCGAGAGACCGAUAGCGAACAAGUACAGUGAUGGAAAGAUGGAAAGAACUUUGAAAAGAGAGUGAAAAAGUACGUGAAAUUGUUGAAAGGGAAGGGCAUUUGAUCAGACAUGGCGUUUGCUUCGGCUUUCGCUGGGCCAGCAUCAGUUUUAGCGGUUGGAUAAAUCCUCGGGAAUGUGGCUCUGCUUCGGUAGAGUGUUAUAGCCCGUGGGAAUACAGCCAGCUGGGACUGAGGAUUGCGACUUUUGUCAAGGAUGCUGGCGUAAUGGUUAAAUGCCGCCCGUCUUGAAACACGGACC